RNAcentral lists this ribosomal RNA (851 nucleotides) under Flavobacterium sp. PDD-32b-6. RNAcentral's name for it is "bacterial SSU rRNA". It matches the Rfam family "Bacterial small subunit ribosomal RNA", at positions 51 to 909 of the family's 1533-position model. Lineage: Bacteria; Pseudomonadati; Bacteroidota; Flavobacteriia; Flavobacteriales; Flavobacteriaceae. The record is from RNAcentral.
ACACAUGCAGUCGAGGGGUAGAGUUCUUCGGAACUUGAGACCGGCGCACGGGUGCGUAACGCGUAUGCAAUCUACCUUUUACAGAGGGAUAGCCCAGAGAAAUUUGGAUUAAUACCUCAUAGUAUAGCUGUAUCGCAUGAUACUACUAUUAAAGUCACAACGGUAAAAGAUGAGCAUGCGUCCCAUUAGCUAGUUGGUAAGGUAACGGCUUACCAAGGCUACGAUGGGUAGGGGUCCUGAGAGGGAGAUCCCCCACACUGGUACUGAGACACGGACCAGACUCCUACGGGAGGCAGCAGUGAGGAAUAUUGGACAAUGGGCGCAAGCCUGAUCCAGCCAUGCCGCGUGCAGGAUGACGGUCCUAUGGAUUGUAAACUGCUUUUAUACGAGAAGAAACAUCCCGACGUGUCGGGACUUGACGGUAUCGUAAGAAUAAGGAUCGGCUAACUCCGUGCCAGCAGCCGCGGUAAUACGGAGGAUCCAAGCGUUAUCCGGAAUCAUUGGGUUUAAAGGGUCCGUAGGCGGUUUAAUAAGUCAGUGGUGAAAGCCCAUCGCUCAACGGUGGAACGGCCAUUGAUACUGUUAAACUUGAAUUAUUAGGAAGUAACUAGAAUAUGUAGUGUAGCGGUGAAAUGCUUAUAGAUUACAUGGAAUACCAAUUGCGAAGGCAGGUUACUACUAAUGGAUUGACGCUGAUGGACGAAAGCGUGGGUAGCGAACAGGAUUAGAUACCCUGGUAGUCCACGCCGUAAACGAUGGAUACUAGCUGUUGGGAGCAAUUUCAGUGGCUAAGCGAAAGUGAUAAGUAUCCCACCUGGGGAGUACGUUCGCAAGAAUGAAACUCAUAGGAA